UUAUAAAUAUUGAAUUUAUGCAGAGCAUAGAAAAUUUUCCGGCUUACUUGAAACAAUUACUUAUUGAAUACGUCCCGGAUAAUCGCGUCGAAGCUAUCUUAUCUCGCUUUGUCAAUAUUCAAAAGCCUUCAUGUCCCCUGCAUAUCAAAAGCGCAUUGUAGAUACAUAAAUCAUUUUAUGGAUAUAUUAAUAUGAAAAUAUAAAAUUAAAAAUGUGAUUAGCUUUGGUUCGUAGCCAAAGAUAUUUAUGUAUAGUAGUUAAAGGGUUAAGAGCGGAACGAGUUUGUUAGUCGUUACCCGACCUAAUACUUGCGGUGAAGCGUUGCACGCGUACCGCGUAUUUUCUUGUUUUGCUCCGGUUUUCGCGUGCGCGCGUUUCGCAGCACACUUCGAAAGCCGCAGCUUUCUGAGCACGGGGAGAUAUCGAAUGUACAACUACGCACGAGUCGAAGAUUGCGGCUCCGUUCGGUAAACCUACUCGCGUGCUAACCAUGCUAAAAAAUCGGUAACGGUAUCGUUAUUGUGGUCGGUUUGAAUUCGUCGAAUGUCGCUCGAUAUUCUCGAUACAACGCCGCGCCGGAAACAGUUUCGACCGGUCGAGCCGUUCGCCUUUACCCUUAUUAGCCAAGCCAGGCGACACAGACGAGUGAAUCUGUGAGACGACUGUUCGUCUGUGACGCGAAUUAUCUUCGCUCGAGGUCGAAGUUUGCGGCGUUGAUGCUGUCUCGAUUAGAAAGUGGUUGUUCUGGGGUAAAAAGUUUUAUGGGUGGUUUUUGAGACUUCGCGCAACACUGAUAUUUUCACUUUUAUUCAUUCGUCUUUUUGUAGAACUAGAGAGAAUUAUAAUUUGAUUUUUGUAACUGUUUGCGAUCUUUUCUUACUGAUAUCUUUUAAUGACUCGAAUCUGGCUUCCAGUUUCAGUAACAAUUCACAUUGUUUCAUAUCAAUUGGUUUCUCCAAUUCAUAAAGGAACCAUUAUUCUACUUAUACUUGGAUACAUUCCCAAUUUCGUCGAAAUUACUGCGCAGAGUUCCGCGAGUUGGAUCGACCCUAUUCGGGACUUAAUUCAUUCUUAGUUCCAGUUCUGCUUUCAUAGGUCUUAUUAACAUAAUGUCACCAAACUGCAGGGACCAAUCUGAUCGUUAUAACGGUGGUAUACUUACAUUCCUAUUAAACAUGAAUUGUUCGAAUAAAUGCGAAGUACAUAGCAUUACCUUAAAUUCUGUUCCCUUUCUAGCGCCUUACGUCUAUUAAACGCAUUUAAGUUUCACGAGCUUCAAGAUGCAUAGUCAUAGAGCGUAGAAAGUUCGAGAGUUUAACUCAUUUGCUUGCAUAAUCAUUCAUUUCUAAUACUUUUUUUCUUGAUAAUAACUUCCUUGAGUAAAAACGGAUUCGUUAAUGUAAAUCUUGUUGACACAAACAUUAAUAAGCCAUUGCUUUUUUUCCCUUAGUACUUCAGUAUUAUACUGAGCAUGAUUUUAUUUUUCCCAAGAUCGAACUAAUUUUUCAUCUUUAUUACUUUGUUCUGUCGAUUUAUCAGGGAGUGGAUAGACGAGCUUGUUACUGCUCGUUAUUAAUGAAACGAAAACAAAUGCAAUGGAUAGGAAGUCCCUAUUCUCGAGGCGAAAAUGAUUUGUCGGGACGAUUUAUCGAAGGAAAAGUUGCAUCCAUUUUGACACCGUUACAUCGUAGCGAGAAGUCGAACCAAUCGGUUUUCAUAUGCUCUACCGUUUCUCGUUCAGUUCCGUGAUUUACAAUCUCACCAAUCGAAUCAGCCGCGCAGUAGUGCAACAAAAAUUGCAAAACUGUAAUUAACGUGCUUCCGACAGCAAUAAGGAAGGAGUCAUGGGGAGCGUCAGAAGCUCGAUACACGCUGUCUGAGAGCUAGUUAGCUGCAAAUCUGCAAUUACGCAGAAUAUUCUUUCCCAAGGAGCGAAAUUAGCAGCAUUUCGGAAAACGAUUAUUCGGACGUGCGUAAUCAGAGAAUUGGACAAGAUUCGGCAGAGCAGU
Ceratina calcarata is the source of this 2009-nucleotide RNA transcript. RefSeq lists it as uncharacterized. The transcript has 2 exons. The record is from RefSeq and is a predicted model, not a curated record. Lineage: Eukaryota; Metazoa; Arthropoda; Insecta; Hymenoptera; Apidae.